Bos taurus (domestic cattle) is the source of this 1611-nucleotide long non-coding RNA. The record is from Ensembl. NCBI's taxonomy places the organism in Eukaryota, Metazoa, Chordata, Mammalia, Artiodactyla, Bovidae.
AAACAGUGCAUGUUUACAAAAAUGCGUACAUAUGAAGCUACACACAUUAAAUAUAUUAGAAGAGCCUCCUGUGGGGAAGAAGGUCAUGAGAGUGGGGAAUGGGGAUUAAAAAGGAAAUAAAAGGGGAAAAAAGACUAUUAAAAAACAUUUUUUUUAGCUGAUCUUAACCACAAUCCCAGGGAGCAGGGAGCCUGGUGGGCUGCCGUCUCUGGGGUCGCUCACGACUGAAGCGACUUAGCAGCAGCAGCAGCAGCAGCAACCACAAUUCUUAGCUGUUCCCCAUGGAGUGAAGCAUUUUUCCGAGGGCGAGAGGAAGGGAGGAAGGUACGCAUUUUUACUUAGGACAGUCCGGAGCGAUUUCUGACUGCUCAGAGCGCACAGGUGUAGACGACAGGAUGGAACCCUACAAUUAGCUAGAGAUGUUCUUAGUGAAGAGUGAUUCUGGAUACAUCGUGUGUCUGGGUGUGUUCCCAGUGACCACCCCACAAACCCUCCUUUAUCCGAGCGUGGCAUGAGUAGCACUGGAAGACUUUUGAAUGAAAAUCCUGCAUUGAAAUCGGAUUUGUCUUUUGAUGUGACAGUAGACAUGUCAGCUUUGGGAGCAGAAUCCGGAAACUGUCAACACUGAAUUUCCUUUCGCGUCUGCCCAACGCUGCUCCUAUCCAUAAGCGCCUGGGAAGGAACAAGCAGCAUCUCUGAGGCUCAGUUUCCUUAGCCCUAGAAUGAGGCGCUAAAACUGCUCUAUUCAUAAGGAAGUGCAUAGAGGACAGUAGCAAGCUACCCCAGCGUCAGGGCCCCGGGCUAACAGGGGCUGUCGCGCCUGGAGCUGCACAUUUUGGACAGUGCAAACAUGUGCAUCAUCACCAGAGCACGACGGGAUCACCCAGGCCUGCACCGCCGCGUGGAACUUUGUGACUUCGGGCAGCUCCUACCUUCUGAGCCUCCUUUCUUGCCUAUAAAACGGAGACAGCGGUGCCAGCCUCAUUGGCUCCGAUGACUGAAUUGACAAGAGUGACUCAGUGAGUCACCUGCACAGUGCCCGGAGCCUGGCAGGCCUUGGCAGUGCCAGCCCCCGUGUCUUGCACCUGGUUGCUGAGGCUUAGGGUGGUUACCAAGCCUUCCCUUCUCUCUCUGCGGCCCAGGCAGGUCUUGUCACAGGCCAUUUUGUGGCAGAGUGAGCCCCUACCCAGACUCUCCGGGAGGCGGCAUAGGAACAACAGAAGGAAAGGCAGGAGCAAAGACUGCUGCCCUGUUUUAUCCACCGGCUGCCACUCACUAUGGUGUGUCCCUCCAGGACCUAGCUUCAGACAGGGACUCCAGCGGAGAACUGGUGUAUCUGUAUACCCGUGUUCCUAGCAGCACUGCUUACAACACCCAAAAAGCAGAAACAACCCAAGUAUCCGUCAACAGGGACUGUAGCCCUCCAGCCUCCUCCAUCCAUGGGAUUUGCCAGGUUCCGUCCUUCAGGCCCACGGGAGAUGACACCCUUCUUGUUGCUAGCCUCAGGUCUACUCCCGGACGACCACACUAUCCCUAGUGGCUAUUCUGAACCUCAUUCACACCUUUGUAAACAGUCUCUUUAUUAAACUCUCCUCAAAUUACCCCGUCGAA